This 254-nucleotide ribosomal RNA is filed under the name uncultured bacterium. RNAcentral's name for it is "partial 16S ribosomal RNA". It matches the Rfam family "Bacterial small subunit ribosomal RNA", at positions 524 to 776 of the family's 1533-position model. The record is from RNAcentral.
UACGUAGGGUGCGAGCGUUGUCCGGAAUUAUUGGGCGUAAAGAGCUCGUAGGCGGUGUGUCACGUCGUUCGUGAAAACCUGCAGCUCAACUGUGGGCGUGCGGUCGAUACGGGCAUCACUGGAGUUCGGCAGGGGAGACUGGAAUUCCUGGUGUAGCGGUGAAAUGCGCAGAUAUCAGGAGGAACACCGGUGGCGAAGGCGGGUCUCUGGGACGGUACUGACGCUGAGACGCGAAAGCGUGGGGAGCGAACAGG